AUUGAACGCUGGCGGCAUGCUUUACACAUGCAAGUCGGACGGCAGCACAGAGGAGCUUGCUUCUUGGGUGGCGAGUGGCGAACGGGUGAGUAACGCAUCGGAACGUACCGAGUAAUGGGGGAUAACUGUCCGAAAGGACAGCUAAUACCGCAUACGCCCUGAGGGGGAAAGCGGGGGAUCUUAGGACCUCGCGUUAUUCGAGCGGCCGAUGUCUGAUUAGCUGGUUGGCGGGGUAAAGGCCCACCAAGGCGACGAUCAGUAGCGGGUCUGAGAGGAUGAUCCGCGACACUGGGAGUGAGACACGGCCCAGACUCCUACGGGAGGCAGCAGUGGGGAAUUUUGGACAAUGGGCGCAAGCCUGAUCCAGCCAUGCCGCGUGUCUGAAGAAGGCCUUCGGGUUGUAAAGGACUUUUGUCAGGGAAGAAAAGGGGCAUGUUAAUACCGUGCUCUGAUGACGGUACCUGAAGAAUAAGCACCGGCUAACUACGUG
Molecule: ribosomal RNA, 490 nt
Filed under: uncultured bacterium
Lineage: Bacteria
Description: partial 16S ribosomal RNA
Rfam family: Bacterial small subunit ribosomal RNA
Source: RNAcentral